This is a long non-coding RNA of Oncorhynchus gorbuscha (pink salmon), 259 nucleotides long. RefSeq lists it as uncharacterized. NCBI's taxonomy places the organism in Eukaryota, Metazoa, Chordata, Actinopteri, Salmoniformes, Salmonidae. The transcript has 3 exons. The record is from RefSeq and is a predicted model, not a curated record.
GAUGCAUUUCACAGAAAAUAUAUUAAUGGAUUUUCAAAGGUUAAUUUGUGAGGGUUUGUGUUUGCAACAGUCUUUGCAGAUGACGAGCGGUCUACUCAGUGUUGCAGUAGGAGUUGUGUUUGCUGUCACUCGGGAUGCGAGCGAGUCCCUUUUAACCACGUUCAGAGUCGCGCCCUUCACUGGACUACUAUUCUUCAUCGCUGGGUUGUUAUCCAACCUGUUGUUCAAAUUCCCCAGACUAUUACCUGUCUGCCUGUGU